CCGCAUUCCUAGCCCGGGUGAAGAGGGAGGGGCCCUCACCCAGCCUUGUUCUGUGAGGGGCAGGUUGAAUGGGGAGCUUUGAAUCCUGCCCAACUGGCCCUCCUCCCCAGGCUCCUCCCUGGUGGGAAGCCUCCACCCUUUCUUUCCCAGGGGACCCGCCUUCUGCGCUGCCUGUGCUCAGUCCAGCAUGUUCUCAGCUCUGGCAGUGUCUUGGGAAGGGCGCCCUCCAGCUGCCCCCAGCUCCCCCUCACUCCCAGGGGCCGGACCCAUUUUCUUUACCCUGUGCACUGUAACAGACAUCCUCCAGCCAGCACCAGGGGGCCCUGGCGGGCCUCUCUGCCCCCUUCCCUCCCCAGGCUGCGUCCAAGAGUAGCUACAACCACCACCACCACUGAUCGAUCGGGUCCACAAGUAGCCACAGCUCAUCUGCACGGGCAGCUGGGCCGGCUUAAGCCCCGCCCUGAAGCUAGAAACGUGCUCGGUCUCCGCCCCUCCGGGACCUCAAUUGUGCAGGUGCCAAAAGUGAGGGAGGGGCCUCGUCCCACACGGCACCCACCGGGCCGCGGGCCGGAGGCAGCACCCGGUGGCGGUGGCGGGCGACCCCGACUGGACGCACCUCCGGCAAGCCCAGACCUGGAGAGGCCUGCAGCCGGCCCCGCAAGGAGAGGCGGCAAGCCUGGCCUGGAACGGCCCGGAACGGCGGGCCGCCAGGGGAGUCGGCCUGCUGGGGCAGCCCCCGGAGCCCUCAGAAAACAGGAAAUUCCAGCCCAGGGCUCCUCCUCGGAUUGGGGCAAGUAG
Molecule: long non-coding RNA, 798 nt
Filed under: Suricata suricatta (meerkat)
Lineage: Eukaryota; Metazoa; Chordata; Mammalia; Carnivora; Herpestidae
Description: lncRNA (ENSSSUG00005012205.1)
Source: RNAcentral